This 354-nucleotide ribosomal RNA is filed under the name Triticum aestivum (bread wheat). RNAcentral's name for it is "partial small subunit ribosomal RNA". Lineage: Eukaryota; Viridiplantae; Streptophyta; Magnoliopsida; Poales; Poaceae. The record is from RNAcentral.
AUGUCGUGCGACAAGAGCCGGUCCAAAUUACUGAUGCUGGCCGCCAGAGCAGCCGGGGUGACGUCCAUGGGCAUAACCGGCAACGCCAGGGACCAGCUGGAGGUGGUCGGCGACGGCGUCGACCCGGUGUGCCUCGUCAGCUGCCUCCGCAAGAAGCUCGGCCACGUCCAAAUCAUCAAGGGGGAGGAGGUGAAGAAGCCGGAGGAGAAGAAGAAGGAUGACCCGAUGCCGGCCGUGCCCCUGCCCGUGAACUCGCCGCCGUGCUACUACCCGCCCAGCUACUACCACCACCAGUACCAGGCGCCGCACAUGGUAGUCUGCGAGGAACAACCCGAAAACUGCCGGACCAUGUAG